This 1441-nucleotide ribosomal RNA is filed under the name uncultured prokaryote. RNAcentral's name for it is "partial 16S ribosomal RNA". It matches the Rfam family "Bacterial small subunit ribosomal RNA". The record is from RNAcentral.
AACGCUGGCGGCGUGCUUCAGGCAUGCAAGUCGAACGGACCUUCGGGUCAGUGGCGGACGGGUGAGUAACACGUAAGCAACCUGCCCAGAAGUGGGGAAUAACCCACCGAAAGGUGAGCUAAUACCGCAUGUGAUGGCCCUUCCCUGGAGGGGCCAUUAAAGGCUUCGGCCGCUUCUGGAGGGGCUUGCGCUCGAUUAGCUAGUUGGUGGGGUAACGGCCUACCAAGGCAACGAUCGAUAGCUGGUCUGAGAGGAUGGUCAGCCACACGGGGACUGAGAUACGGCCCCGACUCCUACGGGAGGCAGCAGCUAGGAAUCUUGGGAAUGGGCGAAAGCCUGACCCAGCAACGCCGCGUGGGCGAUGAAGGCCUUCGGGUCGUAAAGCCCUUUUGUGGGGGAAGAUGAUGACGGUACCCCACGAAUAAGCCACGGCUAACUACGUGCCAGCAGCCGCGGUAAUACGUAGGUGGCGAGCGUUGUCCGGAUUUACUGGGCGUAAAGGGCGUGCAGGCGGUUUGCUAAGUUUAGGGUGAAAGCUCCCGGCUCAACUGGGAGAGGUCCUUGGAUACUGGCAGACUUGAGGGAGGUAGAGGAAAGUGGAAUUCCCGGUGUAGUGGUGAUAUGCGUAGAUAUCGGGAGGAACACCAGUGGCGAAGGCGGCUUUCUGGGCCUUUCCUGACGCUGAGACGCGAAAGCGUGGGGAGCGAACCGGAUUAGAUACCCGGGUAGUCCACGCUGUAAACGAUGAACACUAGGUGUGGGGGGUAUCGACCCCCUCCGUGCCACAGCUAACGCAAUAAGUGUUCCGCCUGGGGAGUACGGCCGCAAGGCUAAAACUCAAAGGAAUUGACGGGGGCCCGCACAAGCAGCGGAGCGUGCGGUUUAAUUCGUCGCAACGCGAAGAACCUUACCAAGGCUUGACAUGCUAGUGGUACCGAUCCGAAAGGUGAGGGACCCUUCGGGGAGCUAGCACAGGUGGUGCAUGGCUGUCGUCAGCUCGUGUCGUGAGAUGUUGGGUUAAGGCCCGCAACGAGCGCAACCCUUAUCCUAUGUUGCCAGCGGUUCGGCCGGGGACGCAUUAGGAGACUGCCGGGGAUAACUCGGAGGAAGGUGAGGACGACGUCAAGUCAUCAUGCCCCUUAUAUCCAGGGCUGCACGCAUGCUACAAUGGUCGGUACAACGGGCAGCGAUCUCGUGAGAGUGAGCGAAUCCCUUAAAGCCGGCCCCAGUUCGGAUUGAAGUCUGCAACUCGACUUCAUGAAGCCGGAGUCGCUAGUAAUCGCGGAUCAGCUAAGCCGCGGUGAAUACGUUCUCGGGGAUUGUACACACCGCCCGUCAAGUCACGGAAAUCGGCAAUACCCAAAGUCAGUGGCCUAACCCUUCGGGGAGGGAGCUGCCUAAGGUGGGGUCGGUAACUGGGACUAAGUCGUAACAAGGUAAC